GUGGGAAUAGCUCAGUGGUAGAGGGCAUGCUUAGCAUGCACGAGGUCCUGGGUUCAAUCCCCAGUACCUCCA
RNAcentral lists this transfer RNA (72 nucleotides) under Camelus bactrianus (Bactrian camel). It matches the Rfam family "tRNA". Rfam says of the family: Transfer RNA (tRNA) molecules are approximately 80 nucleotides in length. Their secondary structure includes four short double-helical elements and three loops (D, anti-codon, and T loops). RNAcentral also lists the same sequence under 3 other names. Lineage: Eukaryota; Metazoa; Chordata; Mammalia; Artiodactyla; Camelidae. The record is from Rfam by way of RNAcentral.